CAGCCGCCGCGGGAAUACGAAGGGGGCUAGCGUUACUCGGAAUUACUGGGCGUAAAGGGCGCGUAGGCGGCACGAUUAGUCAGGCGUGAAAUGCCCCGGCUUAACCGGGGCACUGGCACCGAUACGACCGGCCUGGAGGGGAGUAGGGGGGUCGGGAACUUCCGGUGGAGCGGUGAAAUGCGUUGAGAUCGGAAGGAACGCCCGUGGCGAAAGCGCGGCCCUGGACUCUUUCUGACGCUGAGACUCGAAAGCUAGGGGAGCGAACGGGAUUAGAUACCCCAGUAGUCCCUGUCUCUUAUAC
This 301-nucleotide ribosomal RNA is filed under the name uncultured bacterium. RNAcentral's name for it is "partial 16S ribosomal RNA". It matches the Rfam family "Bacterial small subunit ribosomal RNA", at positions 509 to 807 of the family's 1533-position model. The record is from RNAcentral.